Molecule: ribosomal RNA, 396 nt
Filed under: uncultured microorganism
Description: bacterial SSU rRNA
Rfam family: Archaeal small subunit ribosomal RNA
Source: RNAcentral
GCGCAGCAGGCGCGAAAACUUUACAAUGUGCGAAAGCACGAUAAGGGAACUCUGAGUGCCUCCUAAGGAGGCUGUUCAGGUGUCUAAAAAGCACCUGGAGUAAGGGCUGGGUAAGACCGGUGCCAGCCGCCGCGGUAACACCGGCAGCCCAGGUGGUAGCCACUUUUAUUGGGUCUAAAGCGUCCGUAGCCGGUUGAGUAAGUUCCUUGGGAAAUUUGGCUGCUCAACAGUCAAGCUUCCAGGGAAUACUGCUCGACUUGGGACUGGGAGAGGUCAGAGGUACUCCAGGGGUAGGGGUGAAAUCCAUUAAUCCCUGGGGGACCACCGGUAGCGAAGGCGUCUGACCAGACCAGGUCCGACGGUGAGGGACGAAGGCUAGGGUCGCGAACCGGAUUA